ACUUCCCAAGGGUCUCUGCGGCUGCGCGGACCUGGUGCGCCGCGGGCAAACCGGUCACGGCUUUGUAAGUAGCUUAACCGCCUGGGGCCGUCGACCUAGAGCCGGCCAGCUAGGACCAUGCGCAAAUUGUCCUGGGGCACACAGUCGUCCUCUGGUGAACGAUACAACUCGAAACCAAGGGACACCCUCUACUUAUAAGGGCCAUGGCGCCCGGACCAAGAAAUUACAUUUCCCAGAAAACUGCAGCCGUGCCAAGGUCUUCCGGGUCAUUCCUGCGCUCACACAAACGUUUCCCUCCGAGACAUGGGCAGCCCUUGCUGGUACCGCGCAAGUGCUCGCCGUUGCUAGCAAAGGGGCUCCUCUCAUCCCAAACCCUGCCGCUAUGCUGUUCACCUUCAGGUCUUUUUUUUUUUUUUUUUUUGGCACUCAUUUGCCCAAGACGAUAACUCACAAAACGCCCUGUGGCCCGACUGUCACGACUGUAGUUCGCCAACCAAGGGCAUUUCCUGGAAAUGCAAGGGGACACGUAUCUGUGACACUAAUGGCCGUUCUGACGUGCGUUACGCCCCUGGAAGGACUUGGAAAUACUGAACUUGAGUGAGCACUGGGAGGAUGGAGACCCUCAUCCUGGGAGGAGUCACUCCUCCCGCAGCCAUCACAGCCUGACGCCCCCUCUCCCCAGAAGUGCUUCUUAGGCCCACCCAAAAGGGCAAUGGACCUCUCUGUAUGCAAGCCAGAGCAGUCUACUGUUUGUGUAUAUUUGGGUUGUUUACUUUCUUUUUAACACUUAAAUGUUAAUUGACUUCAAUCAUUUUUAAAAUUAUAAAUAGUGUCGCUAUAGACUUUUUUGUACUUAUUAAGUACUGACCUGCAUGAUCUUCGUGAAGCAGUGCUUCUGUUACCAGAAAGGGGUCCGGAUCCGACCCCAAGAGAGAGUUCUUAGAGCUCACGCAAGAAAAAAUCCAUGGGAGAGCACAGUGCAAAGCCAAAGCAAGUGUAUUAAGAAAGUAAAGAAACAAUGGGUACUCCAUUGUUAGAGCAGCAGCUUGGGCUGCUGGACUAGGGAUACUUGUAUUUAUUGCUUGAUGAUGUGCUAAACAAGGGUGGAUUAUUCAUGAGUUUUCCAGGAAAGAGGUGGGCAAUUUCAAUUUCUCGGAGCUGAGGGCUUCCCAGCUUUUUGAACCAUACAGGGUAACUUCUGAACCUUACCAUGGCAUUUGUAAAUUGCCAUGGCACUGAUGAGCGUUUCUCUUAGCGUGCUAAUGCAUAUAAUUAGCAUAUAACCGAGAGGUGAAGCCAGCUGGGCUUCUGGAUCAGGUGGGGCCUUGGAGAACUUUUCUGUAUAGCUGAAGGAUUGUAAAUACACCAAUCAGUGCUCUGUGUCUAGCUAAAGGUUUGUAAAUGCACCAGUCAGCACUCUGUAAAAACGGACCAAACAGCACUCUGUAAAAUAGACCAAUCAGCGCUCUGUAAAAUGGACAAAUCAGCA
This 1489-nucleotide long non-coding RNA is filed under the name Homo sapiens (human). RNAcentral describes it as "non-protein coding lnc-SCGB2B2-8:7". The record is from RNAcentral. Lineage: Eukaryota; Metazoa; Chordata; Mammalia; Primates; Hominidae.